RNAcentral lists this ribosomal RNA (344 nucleotides) under uncultured Paraprevotella sp. RNAcentral describes it as "bacterial SSU rRNA". It matches the Rfam family "Bacterial small subunit ribosomal RNA", at positions 355 to 697 of the family's 1533-position model. Lineage: Bacteria; Pseudomonadati; Bacteroidota; Bacteroidia; Bacteroidales; Prevotellaceae. The record is from RNAcentral.
UGAGGAAUAUUGGUCAAUGGGCGAGAGCCUGAACCAGCCAAGUAGCGUGAGGGAUGACUGCCCUAUGGGUUGUAAACCUCUUUUGAUUGGGAACAAAGAGCGCCACGUGUGGUGCGUUGCGUGUACCUUUCGAAUAAGCAUCGGCUAAUUCCGUGCCAGCAGCCGCGGUAAUACGGAAGAUGCGAGCGUUAUCCGGAUUUAUUGGGUUUAAAGGGAGCGUAGGCGGGCUGUUAAGUCAGCGGUCAAAUGUCAGGGCCCAACCUUGGCAUGCCGUUGAUACUGGCGGCCUUGAGUUCACACAAGGAAGGUGGAAUUCGUCGUGUAGCGGUGAAAUGCUUAGAUAU